CAGUCGCCGCGGGAAUACAGAGGGUGCAAGCGUUAAUCGGAAUUACUGGGCGUAAAGCGCGCGUAGGUGGUUCGCCAAGUUGGAUGUGAAAUCCCCGGGCUCAACCUGGGAACUGCAUCCAAAACUGGCGAGCUAGAGUAUGGUAGAGGGUGGUGGAAUUUCCUGUGUAGCGGUGAAAUGCGUAGAUAUAGGAAGGAACAUCAGUGGCGAAGGCGACCACCUGGACUGAUACUGACACUGAGGUGCGAAAGCGUGGGGAGCAAACAGGAUUAGAUACCCCAGUAGUCCCUGUCUCUUAUAC
Molecule: ribosomal RNA, 301 nt
Filed under: uncultured bacterium
Lineage: Bacteria
Description: partial 16S ribosomal RNA
Rfam family: Bacterial small subunit ribosomal RNA
Source: RNAcentral